CUCCGAGCUCCGCGGGCUCCGGUGGGGCGGUGGUGGACGGUUUGGCGCGCGAGGUGUAGAGGGGACUCUCUUCCUCCCGAAGAGUGUCCACGGGCGCUCAGUGCGUCCUCACGCACUUUCCUGCUCCAAAAAUUUGGCUAAAGUUUUGUUGGAAAGUAGCAUCCAGAUGUGGGAGAUUGUGAAAAGUCGUGCGUAGAUUUAGGAACUAGAUCCAGAAAAAAGACGAUUACUCAGGGUGGUCAACUGAAGGUGAAGUGCUCCACUUAAAGUCAAACGCAGAGAUGGUGACACUUCAGCGUACGUCCCCCAGGAACCAAGACAUUCUCCUGCAUCGCUGCUGUCUUAGUUUGUGCUGCUGUAACAGAAAACCCUAGACUCAGCGGUUUAGAACCUACGGAAAUUUAUUUCUCAGAGUUCUGGAGGCCGGAAGCCCGAGGUCAGAGUGCCAGCAGGUCAGGGGCUGGUGAGGACCCUCUUCCCAGUGGCAGCUGGCAGUUUUCUCCGAGUCAGCCAGUCCCCUCGUCUGUGUGAUGUGCGUACAGCCAGCUUAUUUACUCGGGAGGACAGAGGGAAAAAAUAACAGGAAACCAACCCACAUCAAACAAUGAAGAUGAAUAUCAAUAUUUGUUCCUUUCCGGAUAAGAGGAGUUAUGCACAGUAUUACGUCAUCAUAGCAGCACUUGAAAGAAUCAAAGUUGCUUUGAGCUUGAAGAAUUUCCAGUACGGCAAUUUGGCUGUUGUCAUCUAAAUGAAGUAAAGUGAAAAUACAGCCUUUUAACAGAAAUGUUGCCAAAUUGCCGUCUAUACAGGAUGAACCACCUUACACUCCUACUGGUAAAAAUACCCUUUGGUUGUUUUCAGUUGUGAAAAUAAAUGAAGACCACCCAGACGAGGACACACAAAGGCUCUUUAUUCAAAGCUGGCUACAGCGAGGGCGUCAGUGCCGUCACAGGCUGCGCAGAGACUCGAAGGUGGCAGUGGUUCAUGCUUUCUGAUUGCUCUGUAGCAUCCUGUUGAAUGACUAUGCCACAAAACAGGGAAGGGCUGGAGUCUGCCCCACAUUGCUAACACCAUUUCCUCACCUGUUGUGCAUCCUUCAGCCUCCUCCCCUAUCACAAGCAAAGAGAAUUCGCUGGCAUCAAUGCAACCAUGUUAGAAUAAAAGCAUAUUUUAUAAAUAAA
Molecule: long non-coding RNA, 1181 nt
Filed under: Equus asinus (donkey)
Lineage: Eukaryota; Metazoa; Chordata; Mammalia; Perissodactyla; Equidae
Description: lncRNA (ENSEASG00005024686.1)
Source: RNAcentral